Molecule: long non-coding RNA, 2244 nt
Filed under: Canis lupus familiaris (dog)
Lineage: Eukaryota; Metazoa; Chordata; Mammalia; Carnivora; Canidae
Description: lncRNA (ENSCAFG00040011194.1)
Source: RNAcentral
CCAGGUCUCCAUCAGGAUCAGGGUCCAUCUUCCCUUACAGAGUCUGCCCUCCAGGAUGUGGCCUUACACAAUCAGCAUGGUGUCAUUGUCAUCCUGCAGCCAGGUCUGGGGAUCUCCCUCUAUCGCUCUGUACCACACCUUCCGUGGCAAUGCCAGUUGUAGCUCUUCGAAAAAUCCAAAGAAUGCUCCACAAAGCUGGCCUCUAGAGCAGCAGGGUCAUCAGGUGGCAGUGCUGGCACAGCAGGUGGAGUGCAGGGUUUGUGAGACUGCACUUCUUUCCCUUGAAGCCACAUACCGUUUUUCCGGGAUUGCCAUUCCUCCACCUGGACAAGAAGAAGAAAGAAGGAAGCUAGCCUCGGUCCCGUUAGAUUUCAUCCCGAAAACAUGGAUGAAACCGGAGGGCAGGAAGGAUCCAGUCCCAUCAGGAGCCGUGUUGUCAGGAAGAGCUCUCCCAGGUGGAGGAAGAAUGGGGUGGUGGACGCAGGAGGAGACAGGAAGAAGCCAAGGAAAGCCUCCUCCUCCUCCUCCAAAGCUUGGCAGAGCGGGAGAAACGAAAAUUGGGAGAGACUGGCUGGAAAGGUCCACGGUCCGGGUGUCCCUCUGGGCCACUGAAGGAGCCAGAGGGGCCUUGAGCCUGGUGUCUGGGAGAGGCUGCUGCAGGCCACAUUCACUGGAAGGAGGAGGUAAGAGCAGUGUGUCCCCUACAGGGUGUCCUCCUCAGAUGUUUAAAAAGAGAAGGGAAAUAGAUAUAUAUUUAUUAAUUUAUGUGUAUUAUUUCUAUAUAUAUUUACUUCUGUAUAAAGCUCUUUCUUUCUCUGGUGCUCUCUCUUCUUACAGUAGGUAAAAGACUACAAUUUGCCAGACACUGCCUUUGGCUUUAAUCUUUUGGACAUUAUAAAUUACUUAUUAUAUUUGUAUUUCUUUUUUGGGUUGGUUGUUAGAAAGGAUAGGCCCACAUGGACAGGGCUACACUCCCAACAUUUUUCAUACUGCCUCCUUGAGUUAGUUACUAUUUCUACUCUCAUUUUCUUACCUGUUUUUUAAUUAUUCAUGUUUCGCAAAGGUGUAUUACUGUACUGUAUGUUGUUAUGUAAAUCCCCUUAAAGUGUUUCUGGGACUAAUGGGCUGCAACCACAUCAGUGAGAGACUUCAGUAGUAUUACAGAGGGGAGAAAUAGGUACAGGAGGAUAUGAAAAAAGUAUAGACACAUUUUUCAAAAAUACAGGAUAGAGAGGAUUUGGAGGAAUGUGUAAUUUUAGGUGGUAUGAGUGUUGCCAAACCUUGAAGUUCAAAUCAGAGUAAAAUGCAGAAGAGUUCAUGAAUUUUCUUGUUGAGAGAUGGAUGUUCAGGGACAUAAAAGCUGAAUAUCUGAUGUCAGUCUGAGAAAUUAAAAAAAAAAAAGGAAUGUUGAGCAGCAAUCGUUUUGCACACCAGCUAUAGGAAACUGUUCAGCAAGGAAUAUGUAAUACAGGAUUUGCAGAGAGGGCAAAAAUGACACAAUACAUGAUAAAGCAAAAUAAUGACAACUGCUUGGAGAGCCAGUAGUACUGUAUAACUGUUUAAACAUAUAUAAGCUCCAGCAAAUCAUUUAGACCUUCAACAAGGACGUAUUCAAAAAGCAAGAUGAUAAAGUGUCAAAAUAAGGAACAUGUUUUAUUUGCAAGGCUGAACUACUGGUUGAGGCGUAAAACAAUAUUGGGACAAAUACUGGUGUUUAUUCUUUUCUUUUUGUCCUUUUUGGAGUCUGUCAACCUCUAUUUUGAAAAGGAAAGAUAAAACUCCUGUAAGACAGUUGCACUGCAAACUAAUAAUGUGCAUCCCUUCUAUAAUAGAAAGCAUGCAGAAUCACCUUUGGAUCAAAAACGUUUGAGGAAAGGGAUUAAUGAAUUUUGAAAGAGAGCAUGGUUUACAAAAAAAAAGAUAAAAAUGCUCACUGGAGCAGGGACAAUAUAUUGCCUUUUAAAAAGAAAAUAUGCAAUGAUAAUACUGUGAGGAUAAAAUGUCUGAGGCACAAAGAAAUAUAGAAUUCUAUUAGUAGGAGUGAAAUCAUUAAUGACUUUGUUAGCAGUUUAGUUUAUGAUAGAAAACUUCCAUAAAGAGGAAUUUUGAGCACAGAAAGUAAGUAUGUGGGAUGUGGCUAACUCGGAAGGUAACGACUUUUACAGGAAAGAAUAGUUAAGCCAUGAAUUCUGGUUCUGUUGACUGACACGUUGUGAAAUAUUGUCGCAUGUUACCUUAAGGAAC